RNAcentral lists this ribosomal RNA (497 nucleotides) under uncultured bacterium. RNAcentral's name for it is "partial 16S ribosomal RNA". It matches the Rfam family "Bacterial small subunit ribosomal RNA", at positions 28 to 507 of the family's 1533-position model. The record is from RNAcentral.
GAUGAACGCUGGCGGCGUGCCUAAUACAUGCAAGUCGAGCGAACAGACGAGGAGCUUGCUCCUCUGACGUUAGCGGCGGCCGGGUGAGUAACACGUGGAUAACCUACCUAUAAGACUGGGAUAACUUCGGGAAACCGGAGCUAAUACCGGAUAAUAUAUUGAACCGCAUGGUUCAAUAGUGAAAGACGGUUUUGCUGUCACUUAUAGAUGGAUCCGCGCCGCAUUAGCUAGUUGGUAAGGUAACGGCUUACCAAGGCAACGAUGCGUAGCCGACCUGAGAGGGUGAUCGGCCACACUGGAACUGAGACACGGUCCAGACUCCUACGGGAGGCAGCAGUAGGGAAUCUUCCGGAAUGGGCGAAAGCCUGACGGAGCAACGCCGCGUGAGUGAUGAAGGUCUUCGGAUCGUAAAACUCUGUUAUUAGGGAAGAACAAAUGUGUAAGUAACUAUGCACGUCUUGACGGUACCUAAUCAGAAAGCCACGGCUAACUACGUG